UACGUAGGGGGCUAGCGUUGUCCGGAAUCAUUGGGCGUAAAGAGCGUGUAGGCGGCUCGGUAAGUCCGCUGUGAAAGUCCAGGGCUCAACCCUGGAAUGCCAGUGGAAACUGUCGAGCUAGAGUCCGGAAGAGGCGAGUGGAAUUCCUGGUGUAGCGGUGAAAUGCGCAGAUAUCAGGAGGAGCACCAAUGGCGAAGGCAGCUCGCUGGGACGGUACUGACGCUGAGACGCGAAAGCGUGGGGAGCAAACAGG
This 253-nucleotide ribosomal RNA is filed under the name uncultured bacterium. RNAcentral's name for it is "partial 16S ribosomal RNA". It matches the Rfam family "Bacterial small subunit ribosomal RNA", at positions 524 to 776 of the family's 1533-position model. The record is from RNAcentral.